Schistocerca americana (American grasshopper) is the source of this 1853-nucleotide long non-coding RNA. RefSeq lists it as uncharacterized. The transcript has 3 exons. Lineage: Eukaryota; Metazoa; Arthropoda; Insecta; Orthoptera; Acrididae. The record is from RefSeq and is a predicted model, not a curated record.
AGGUUACAGCUGACUGCAGUUCGUGACAUGUUCGUUUAAAGUAGGAGAUAUUGGGCUUUCUCGUCUUGAAUAAACUAACAAUGCUGUGCUUUUGGUUGUACCUUCGAAGAGAAGAAGAGAGGGACGCAGGAAGAAGAAGAAUAAUACGGCUGAUGAACAUCUGCAGAGCAUACUGGCAGAUUACAAAAGCAACUGCUUUGUGUAAAAAUCACUUUACUCCAGACCAGUUUGAACCGACAGACUUGGUGGAGUGGUAAAACGUAAACCAAAUGCUGUGCCAACAAUUUUUGGUGAUCGUAAAGCUCCUGCCGAGAGGAAACCUGUUGGCCUACUGGAGAAACGUACUGAGGAUACAGAGGUUGGAGAGCCUUCGAAUGUGACCAAUGACGUCAGUCCUGCAGCGAACUUGGACACGACAGAAGAUGAAGUCACCACCCUGAAGAACCUAGCUUCAGGCUGGAACUGAAGCUUUCAAGAGAAAACUCACCCUCUCUCAGAAAAGGGAGAGAAGAGUGUCUUUAGAAAAAGACAGCCUCUUAGCGAGUCUGCACGGUUUAUUCGGUGCAGAUCAGUUUGUAGUAUGAGUGAAGGGGACACGUGAAGGUAGCAAAUGGUCAGUGGAAAGGGCUAAAAAUUCGACCACCUUGUAGUAGUAAGGGGUACAAAGUCCUGCUGGAAAAUAAAUUACCAUUUCCUUCAGAUAGAACCCCAAUAUGUUCGCUACAGAGCAUAAAAGUUAGACCUGGUGUGCCGAGGGAGCUCGUGAGUUUCGUGAGAGUCAAGCUUGCCCUCAUGUUACCAGUGGAGAUGCAUGCUGUUCUCCUGAUGGAUGAGGUUAGUAUCACUCACCAUUGGAAUGUGGUUGAGCAUUGGCUGCACCAUUGAUAAUGAUACGACACCUCCACCAGAACUCGCCCUUGCAAAAACUAUAGCUUCUAAUGCAUCAGUUGUUAUGCUGGGUGGUAUUACCUCAAGAUGGAAACAAACAAUAGGUUACCAUUACACAGGGCCAUCUUUUUCCAGUUCUCACCCCAGACAUUACUAUAAGCUUUAUUAGGGAAUCUUAGGCACUCGUACAAUGUUCGCUGCAUCGCGUCAGUGACGGGAGGGCAGAAUUGAGCUGUAUGGCGAGAAUUUGGAAUUGUUGUCGAAAGGUUUUCAAAAUUAGUUUCUGCCAGUGUCUUUGUGAUGAUAAUUGGAAACUAAUUUUCCUCACAGAUACACCACACAUUUUGAAAAACGAGGAUUCACUUAGUCAAUGGGCAAUCGGUCUUCCUCUGACGAAAUGUUGUCAAGGGACAUGAUCUGCCUUGUAAUGAGGUACAUAUAAAUCGUGUAUAACAGUGGCUUGAGGUAGACAGUGGUUUAAGUCUUAAACUGGCACCAAAACUGUGUGAGGGAUGUCUGAGGCCAAACCAUUACGAGAAAAUGAAAGUUGGCUCAUCUACUGCCAUAAUUAACAGCCAGACUGCAGCAGCCAGUGAGUGUGCUGUAAAGACAGAGAAACUGCAGAAAAAUACUUUAACCACAGCACGGUUGCUAAAGCACGUUCGUGAGUGGUCUUGCCUCAUGACAUCCAGAGCUCCAGUUAUGCCUCUGAGUCGUUCUGAUGAACAAACAUACAGUGAGGCUCUCUGUCAUCUUUAGGACACUCUGUGAUUAUUUGGAAACUUGAAAAUUGGGCUGAGCAGUGCCUGGAAACCAGUUCAGUGUGGUGUAGUUUUGACAGCUGGAGGUAUUUUGGGAUUGCAGAACACAUUCCUGAAUGAGAAGAAAUUAAAAUUUUUGCUAAUAAGUAGAUUUACACAAGAUACCUUGGAAAAUCUGUUAGCAAUGCUCCACUUCAAAAAUCC